This 1000-nucleotide ribosomal RNA is filed under the name uncultured soil eukaryote. Its description in RNAcentral is "SSU rRNA". It matches the Rfam family "Eukaryotic small subunit ribosomal RNA", at positions 84 to 1114 of the family's 1831-position model. The record is from RNAcentral.
AACCUGCGAAAGGCUCAUUAAAUCAGUAAUAAUCUAUUCUAUUAUUUAAAUUCUAUUUGGAUAACUGUAGUAAUUCUAGAGCUAAUACAUGCAAAAAACCUGAACUUUACAGAACGGGUGUACUUAUUAGACAUUAAAACCGAUUACAAUUUAUUGUAUACUUAAAAUGAAUUAAAAUAAGUUUAUGAAUCGCAGAUCAUUUUGUGAUGAUAAGAAUGAAUUUCUGCCCUAUCAACUUUCGAUGGUAAUGUAGGGGAUUACCAUGGUGAUGACGGGUAACGGGGAAUUAGGGUUUGAUUCCGGAGAAAAGGCCUGAGAGACGGCCAUUACUUCUAAGGAAGGCAGCAGGCGCGUAAAUUACCCAAUCCUAAUACGGGGAGGUAGUGACAAGAAAUAUUGAUAUUGGACCCAAAGGGUACAAUGAUUGAAAUGAGAACAAUACAAAAAACUUAACGACUAACAAUUGGAGGGCAAGUCUGGUGCCAGCAGCCGCGGUAAUUCCAGCUCCAAGAGUGUAUAUUAAAGUUGUUGCGGUUAAAAAGCUCGUAGUUGAAUUUCUGAAAAUAAUCUUGUGAUUGAUUUAACCGUCAUGAUCAAAAAUUAUUAUCAUACUUGGUAGGUGGAAACAUUUACCUUAAUUACUUUGAAAAAAUUAGAGUGUUCAAAGCAAGAUUCACAUCUGAAUAAUACAGCAUGGGAUAAUAUAAUAUGACAUUAGUUAAAAUUUGUUGGUUUCUUUGGCUAAUGUAAUGAUUAAAAGGGACAGUUGGGGUAAUUUAUAUUGGUCGGGGAGGGGUGAAAUCCUAUGAUCCUUCCAAGAUAAACUAGUGCGAAAGCAUUUUACCAGGAUGUUUUCAUUAAUCAAGAACGAAAGUUGGGGGAUCGAAGAUGAUCAGAUACCGUCGUAGUCUCAACCAUAAACUAUGUCGACUAAGGAUGAUAAAAUAUUAAAUGAAUGAUUUUUGUCGCACUUUACAAGAAAUUAUAAGUAUUCAGACUC